Molecule: ribosomal RNA, 253 nt
Filed under: uncultured bacterium
Lineage: Bacteria
Description: partial 16S ribosomal RNA
Rfam family: Bacterial small subunit ribosomal RNA
Source: RNAcentral
UACGUAGGGUGCCAGCGUUGUCCGGAAUUAUUGGGCGUAAAGAGCUCGUAGGCGGUUUGUCGCGUCUGCUGUGAAAACUGGAGGCUCAACCUCCAGCCUGCAGUGGGUACGGGCAGACUAGAGUGCGGUAGGGGAGAUUGGAAUUCCUGGUGUAGCGGUGGAAUGCGCAGAUAUCAGGAGGAACACCGAUGGCGAAGGCAGAUCUCUGGGCCGUAACUGACGCUGAGGAGCGAAAGCAUGGGGAGCGAACAGG